RNAcentral lists this ribosomal RNA (699 nucleotides) under uncultured bacterium. RNAcentral describes it as "bacterial SSU rRNA". It matches the Rfam family "Bacterial small subunit ribosomal RNA", at positions 8 to 755 of the family's 1533-position model. The record is from RNAcentral.
AGAGUUUGAUCAUGGCUCAGAACGAACGCUGGCGGCAGGCUUAACACAUGCAAGUCGAGCGCCCCGCAAGGGGAGCGGCAGACGGGUGAGUAACGCGUGGGAAUCUACCCUUCACUACGGAACAACUCCGGGAAACUGGAGCUAAUACCGUAUACGUCCUUCGGGAGAAAGAUUUAUCGGUGAUGGAUGAGCCCGCGUUGGAUUAGCUAGUUGGUGGGGUAAUGGCCUACCAAGGCGACGAUCCAUAGCUGGUCUGAGAGGAUGAUCAGCCACACUGGGACUGAGACACGGCCCAGACUCCUACGGGAGGCAGCAGUGGGGAAUAUUGGACAAUGGGCGCAAGCCUGAUCCAGCCAUGCCGCGUGAGUGAUGAAGGCCCUAGGGUUGUAAAGCUCUUUCGCAGGUGAAGAUAAUGACGGUAACCUGAGAAGAAGCCCCGGCUAACUUCGUGCCAGCAGCCGCGGUAAUACGAAGGGGGCUAGCGUUGUUCGGAAUUACUGGGCGUAAAGCGCACGUAGGCGGAUACUUAAGUUAGGGGUGAAAUCCCAGGGCUCAACCCUGGAACUGCCUCUAAUACUGGGUAUCUCGAGUCCGAGAGAGGUGAGUGGAAUUCCGAGUGUAGAGGUGAAAUUCGUAGAUAUUCGGAGGAACACCAGUGGCGAAGGCGGCUCACUGGCUCGGUACUGACGCUGAGGUGCG